AGCGAACGCUGGCGGCAGGCUUAACACAUGCAAGUCGAGCGGGCAUCCUUGUGGUGUCAGCGGCAGACGGGUGAGUAACGCGUGGGAACGUGCCCUUCGGUUCGGAAUAACUCAGGGAAACUUGAGCUAAUACCGGAUACGUGCGAGAGCAGAAAGGUUUAUCUGCCGAAGGAUCGGCCCGCGUCUGAUUAGCUAGUUGGUGAGGUUAUGGCUCACCAAGGCGACGAUCAGUAGCUGGUCUGAGAGGAUGAUCAGCCACACUGGGACUGAGACACGGCCCAGACUCCUACGGGAGGCAGCAGUGGGGAAUAUUGGACAAUGGGGGCAACCCUGAUCCAGCCAUGCCGCGUGAGUGAAGACGGCCUUAGGGUUGUAAAGCUCUUUUCUUCGGGACGAUAAUGACGGUACCGGAGGAAUAAGCCCCGGCUAACUUCGUG
Molecule: ribosomal RNA, 437 nt
Filed under: uncultured bacterium
Lineage: Bacteria
Description: partial 16S ribosomal RNA
Rfam family: Bacterial small subunit ribosomal RNA
Source: RNAcentral